GCUCAAAUAGCCUAGUGGUUAUAGUGUCCGCCUUGGAUGCAAGAGGUCGCGGGUUCGAACCCCGACCGAGUCA
Molecule: non-coding RNA, 73 nt
Organism: Potamilus streckersoni
Lineage: Eukaryota; Metazoa; Mollusca; Bivalvia; Unionida; Unionidae
Source: the annotation of a GenBank genome assembly